Molecule: long non-coding RNA, 1288 nt
Filed under: Homo sapiens (human)
Lineage: Eukaryota; Metazoa; Chordata; Mammalia; Primates; Hominidae
Description: HSALNT0206022
Source: RNAcentral
CUCAUUUUUUAGGAAUCUGAAGCUUUAUUCCUCAAGGCAAUUAAAGCAAAUCCAAAUGCUGCAAGUUACCAUGGUAAUUUGGCUGUGCUUUAUCAUCGUUGGGGACAUCUAGACUUGGCCAAGAAACACUAUGAAAUCUCCUUGCAGCUUGACCCCACGGCAUCAGGAACUAAGGAGAAUUACGGUCUGCUGAGAAGAAAGCUAGAACUAAUGCAAAAGAAAGCUGUCUGAUCCUGUUUCCUUCAUGUUUUGAGUUUGAGUGUGUGUGUGCAUGAGGCAUAUCAUUAAUAGUAUGUGGUUACAUUUAACCAUUUAAAAGUCUUAGACAUGUUAUUUUACUGAUUUUUUUCUAUGAAAACAAAGACAUGCAAAAAGAUUAUAGCACCAGCAAUAUACUCUUGAAUGCGUGAUAUGAUUUUUCAUUGAAAUUGUAUUUUUUCAGACAACUCAAAUGUAAUUCUAAAAUUCCAAAAAUGUCUUUUUUAAUUAAACAGAAAAAGAGAAAAAAUUAUCUUGAGCAACUUUUAGUAGAAUUGAGCUUACAUUUGGGAUCUGAGCCUUGUCGUGUAUGGACUAGCACUAUUAAACUUCAAUUAUGACCAAGAAAGGAUACACUGGCCCCUACAAUUUGUAUAAAUAUUGAACAUGUCUAUAUAUUAGCAUUUUUAUUUAAUGACAAAGCAAAUUAAGUUUUUUUAUCUCUUUUUUUUAAAACAACAUACUGUGAACUUUGUAAGGAAAUAUUUAUUUGUAUUUUUAUGUUUUGAAUAGGGCAAAUAAUCGAAUGAGGAAUGGAAGUUUUAACAUAGUAUAUCUAUAUGCUUUUCCCCAUAGGAAGAAAUUGACUCUUGCAGUUUUUGGAUGCUCUGACUUGUGCAAUUUCAAUACACAGGAGAUUAUGUAAUGUAAUAUUUUACAUAAGCGGUUACUAUCAAUUGAAAGUUCAAGCCAUGCUUUAGGCAAGAGCAGGCAGCCUCACAUCUUUAUUUUUGUUACAUCCAAGGUGAAGAGGGCAACACAUCUGUGUAAGCUGCUUUUUAGUGUGUUUAUCUGAAGGCCGUUUUCCAUUUUGCUUAAUGUAACUACAGACAUUAUCCAGAAAAUGCAAAAUUUUCUAUCAAAUGGAGCCACAUUCGGGGAAUUCGUGGUAUUUUUAAGAAUUGAGUUGUUCCUGCUGUUUUUUAUUUGAUCCAAACAAUGUUUUGUUUUGUUCUUCUCUGUAUGCUGUUGACCUAAUGAUUUAUGCAAUCUCUGUAAUUUCUUAUGCAGUAAAAUUACUACACAAACU